Molecule: ribosomal RNA, 301 nt
Filed under: uncultured bacterium
Lineage: Bacteria
Description: partial 16S ribosomal RNA
Rfam family: Bacterial small subunit ribosomal RNA
Source: RNAcentral
CAGCCGCCGCGGUAAUACAGAGGGUGCGAGCGUUAAUCGGAUUUACUGGGCGUAAAGCGUGCGUAGGCGGCUUCUUAAGUCGUAUGUGAAAUCCCUGAGCUUAACUUAGGAAUUGCAUUCGAUACUGGGAAGCUAGAGUAUGGGAGAGGAUGGUAGAAUUCCAGGUGUAGCGGUGAAAUGCGUAGAGAUCUGGAGGAAUACCGAUGGCGAAGGCAGCCAUCUGGCCUAAUACUGACGCUGAGGUACGAAAGCAUGGGGAGCAAACAGGAUUAGAUACCCCUGUAGUCCCUGUCUCUUAUAC